This 397-nucleotide ribosomal RNA is filed under the name uncultured bacterium. RNAcentral describes it as "bacterial SSU rRNA". It matches the Rfam family "Bacterial small subunit ribosomal RNA", at positions 28 to 412 of the family's 1533-position model. The record is from RNAcentral.
GAUGAACGCUAGCUACAGGCUUAACACAUGCAAGUCGAGGGGAAACGACAUCGAAAGCUUGCUUUUGAUGGGCGUCGACCGGCGCACGGGUGAGUAACGCGUAUCCAACCUGCCCACCACUUGGGGAUAACCUUGCGAAAGUAAGACUAAUACCCAAUGAUAUCUCUAGAAGACAUCUGAAAGAGAUUAAAGAUUUAUCGGUGAUGGAUGGGGAUGCGUCUGAUUAGCUUGUUGGCGGGGUAACGGCCCACCAAGGCAACGAUCAGUAGGGGUUCUGAGAGGAAGGUCCCCCACAUUGGAACUGAGACACGGUCCAAAACUCCUACGGGAGGCAGCAGUGAGGAAUAUUGGGUCAAUGGGCGAGAGCCUGAACCAGCCAAGUAGCGUGCAGGAUGAC